This 253-nucleotide ribosomal RNA is filed under the name uncultured bacterium. RNAcentral's name for it is "partial 16S ribosomal RNA". It matches the Rfam family "Bacterial small subunit ribosomal RNA", at positions 524 to 776 of the family's 1533-position model. The record is from RNAcentral.
AACGUAGGUGGCGAGCGUUAUCCGGAUUUACUGGGCGUAAAGGGUGUGCAGGCGGGUCAUUAAGUGGUGUAUGAAAUCGCCCGGCUCAACCGGGCGAGGUUAUGCCAGACUGGUGGUCUAGAGAGCGAGAGAGGGACGUGGAAUUCCGGGUGUAGUGGUGAAAUGCGUAGAGAUCCGGAGGAACCCCAGAGGCGAAGGCGGCGUCCUGGCUCGCAUCUGACGCUCAGACACGACAGCAUGGGGAGCGAACGGG